UACGUAGGUCCCGAGCGUUGUCCGGAUUUAUUGGGCGUAAAGCGAGCGCAGGUGGUUUAAUAAGUCUGAUGUAAAAGGCAGUGGCUCAACCAUUGUGUGCAUUGGAAACUGUUAGACUUGAGUGCAGUAGAGGAGAGUGGAAUUCCAUGUGUAGCGGUGAAAUGCGUAGAUAUAUGGAGGAACACCGGUGGCGAAAGCGGCUCUCUGGACUGUAACUGACACUGAGAUGCGAAAGCGUGGGGAGCGAACGGG
RNAcentral lists this ribosomal RNA (252 nucleotides) under uncultured microorganism. Its description in RNAcentral is "partial 16S ribosomal RNA". It matches the Rfam family "Bacterial small subunit ribosomal RNA", at positions 524 to 776 of the family's 1533-position model. The record is from RNAcentral.